AUUACACAAUCACAGGGACUCACAGAUUUGUGUUGGACCUUCUCCGUAUACAUUAAGAGUGACAUCUGUCCUUGUUAUGUCCCCAGACUUUGAACCAACCUAGACAAGACAAUCAGCUAAAGCAGGACCUGGAGAAGACAACAAAGGAUAGGUGGGACAUGUCCAGGAGGGAGGAAAGAAACGCUAAAGGAGACAAGUGACAAAGCUCUGAAAACGGCCAAGCAGCAAGACCAGCGCAGGAGCAACUGGAGAAGAGGGUGGGACAACUGGAGAAGGAAUACAAACACCUCGCCUCCAGCCUGGAGAUGGAGAUGGACAAAAUGAAAGCAGCGAAUGCCCAGGAGAGGGUGGCUUCUCGCCAAAAAAUGGGGUCCUCCUUGCACCUUGAGGAUAAUGAGCAGGCAUUAAUCCAUCUCCAAAAGGUUAGAAGUUUUCUGGAGGGGGAGCUGUGCAACGUGUCAGGAGGGAAGGCAAAGAACGAGUAUGAGGAGACCGUGGAGAAGAUGCAGAGGCUCCAGCAGGAAAUAAAAAAAGAAAAGGAAGAGAAAAAAUGGGACUCAGGAAAGAGAAGAAGCAACUGAAGAAGAAGAUAGAGCAACGGAGCAGCGGAUAGAGCAACUGGAGAAGAGGGCGGAGCACUUAGAUAAUAAAAAUAACCGCGCUAGUGACAGAUUGGGGUAAAAUAUAACAUCAUACAUCCAUGUGUUAGUUUUGCUUUGCUUUUAUUUUCGGGAGGGUGCUUUAAUUGGAAGUGUUGCUUCCUCCUCUCCAGACCUGGCAGAGUCAUGGACCCACCGCUUUCUGCUCGUUAUGUCAGAAAUGACAACAUGGAGUAAGUCCUGAAACGUGGCGUUGAAAUGGCAUUUCUGUGCUCCUUUAAUGGGAACUGCUGGAAUUGUGGCGUUAAACUCAUCCCUUAUUCCUUUAUAUCUUUGGUGCAUGCUUUAAUCACUGGUGAAGUUCAGCCAACAAUAUCUCCCAGGUUCCUCUCCAAGAAGAAAGUUUGAUUCAUCAGAUGAACAUUAAUCAGGUAAUAGAGAUACAGACCAGCAGUGACAUGGUGGAGAUAAAAACCAAACUCUUGAAAUGGUAUGCUAAAAUGAAUGAUCUAUAGUUUGUCACACUGCAAAGCCACCUCUCCAGAUGUGGCACAGGGAGCCCUAAU
Molecule: long non-coding RNA, 1165 nt
Filed under: Takifugu rubripes (torafugu)
Lineage: Eukaryota; Metazoa; Chordata; Actinopteri; Tetraodontiformes; Tetraodontidae
Description: lncRNA (ENSTRUG00000026014.1)
Source: RNAcentral